UGAAUUCGGGACAAUCUUGUGGGAUGU
RNAcentral lists this non-coding RNA (27 nucleotides) under Bombyx mori (domestic silkworm). Lineage: Eukaryota; Metazoa; Arthropoda; Insecta; Lepidoptera; Bombycidae. The record is from RNAcentral.